AUACGUAGGUGGCAAGCGUUGUCCGGAUUUACUGGGUGUAAAGGGCGUGUAGGCGGAGAUGCAAGUCAGGAGUGAAAUCUAGGGGCUCAACCCCUAAACUGCUUUUGAAACUGUAUCCCUUGAGUAUCGGAGAGGCAGGCGGAAUUCCUAGUGUAGCGGUGAAAUGCGUAGAUAUUAGGAGGAACACCAGUGGCGAAGGCGGCCUGCUGGACGACAACUGACGCUGAGGCGCGAAAGCGUGGGGAGCAAACAGGAUGAGAUACCCUGGUAGUCCACGCUGUAAACGAUGAAUACUAGGUGUGGGGGGACUGACCCCCUCCGUGCCGCAGUUAACACAAUAAGUAUUCCACCUGGGGAGUACGAUCGCAAGAUUGAAACUCAAAGGAAUUGACGGGG
Molecule: ribosomal RNA, 396 nt
Filed under: uncultured bacterium
Lineage: Bacteria
Description: partial 16S ribosomal RNA
Rfam family: Bacterial small subunit ribosomal RNA
Source: RNAcentral